AACUAAAUAUUUAAUUAUCAUACUAAAUAUUCAUCUUCAUUCUAAAUGUUUCCCAGCAGACUGACUAAAGACAUGUCUCCCUCUUCCUCGUCUAUCAGACCUUCUCUGCUCCUGCAGCAGGUUCCUCCAUACCUGAGAGCUUCCAGUCUCCAGUGUGGAUCCUUCAGUCCAGCCGAC
Molecule: long non-coding RNA, 177 nt
Organism: Xiphophorus couchianus (Monterrey platyfish)
Lineage: Eukaryota; Metazoa; Chordata; Actinopteri; Cyprinodontiformes; Poeciliidae
Exons: 3
Source: RefSeq, a predicted model, not a curated record